GUUUCUCCUCCUUUAUUCUUUUGCAUCUAUGCCGUUUUUGUUUCUCCUCCUUUAUUCUUUUGCGUCCGUCCAUAUUUUGUUUCACGUCAAUAUUCUAUUUUUCCUUUUUUUGUCUAAUUUUUUGUGGUUUGAUUUUUAGGACAGUCUAACGAUGGUGCUGAAGGUUACGAGGCUUUGUCCAUGGAAGAGUUGGGAUAGGCUACUAAAGAAUAAAGGUUACAGCGCUUUGCCCAUGCAAGGGUUGCAACAAUAGGACUCGAGGUUAUUGUUCUUUUUCGAGAGAAGUUGGAAGAACACAUUAAAGCUGUCAUUUUUAUCUCAAAAAUUCCAUGACUACAG
Glycine soja is the source of this 339-nucleotide long non-coding RNA. RefSeq lists it as uncharacterized. The record is from RefSeq and is a predicted model, not a curated record. NCBI's taxonomy places the organism in Eukaryota, Viridiplantae, Streptophyta, Magnoliopsida, Fabales, Fabaceae. The transcript has 3 exons.